RNAcentral lists this ribosomal RNA (484 nucleotides) under uncultured bacterium. RNAcentral's name for it is "partial 16S ribosomal RNA". It matches the Rfam family "Bacterial small subunit ribosomal RNA", at positions 899 to 1397 of the family's 1533-position model. The record is from RNAcentral.
ACUCAAAGGAAUAGACGGGGACCCGCACAAGCGGUGGAGCGUGUUGUUUAAUUCGAUGCUAAGCGAAGAACCUUACCCAGGUUUGACAUCCUGUGAAGUUCUCCGAAAGGAGAGUGUGCCGCAAGGAACACAGUGACAGGUGAUGCAUGGCCGUCGUCAGCUCGUGUCGUGAGAUGUUGGGUUAAGUCCCGCAACGAGCGCAACCCUUAUGUUUAGUUGUAUUUCUCUAAACAGACUGCCCUGGCAACAGGGAGGAAGGGGGGGAUGAUGUCAGGUCCGUAUCUCCCUUACAUCUGGGGCUACAAACACGCUACAAUGGCCGGUACAAAGGGCAGCCAACCCGCGAGGGGGAGCAAAUCCCAUCAAAGCCGGUCUCAGUUCGGAUUGUAGGCUGAAACUCGCCUGCAUGAAGCCGGAAUCGCUAGUAAUGGUAGGUCAGCACACUACCGUGAAUACGUUCCCGGGUCUUGUACACACCGCCCGU